GUAGGUGAACCUGCGGAAGGAUCAUUACAAAUCUUUUGUGUGGUGGUGGGGUUAGUGGUUGGGGGAGUGGUGGUGGUGCUGGUUAAUUUCCAGCCUCAUCCCACUCACUCACUCGCACCCAUUCACCCACAACAUAUGCACAGGGCCGCAAGGCUCUGAUGUUUACGCUUGUUUGUUUGACAGAUUUAUAUGUGAUUAAAAUUUGACAACUGUUAACAAUGGAUCUCUUGGCUCUUGCAUCGAUGAAGAA
RNAcentral lists this unclassified non-coding RNA (250 nucleotides) under plant metagenome. RNAcentral describes it as "partial contains small subunit ribosomal RNA, internal transcribed spacer 1, and 5.8S ribosomal RNA". The stretch from base 208 to 250 matches the Rfam family "5.8S ribosomal RNA", at positions 1 to 43 of the family's 154-position model. The record is from RNAcentral.